This 156-nucleotide small RNA is filed under the name Plasmodium falciparum IGH-CR14. Its description in RNAcentral is "Plasmodium RNA of unknown function RUF6-5". It matches the Rfam family "Plasmodium RNA of unknown function RUF6-5". The record is from Rfam by way of RNAcentral. Lineage: Eukaryota; Apicomplexa; Aconoidasida; Haemosporida; Plasmodiidae.
AGCUGCUCCAGUAGCCCAGUGGUUAGGUAUGUAACCUUUCCUUGUGAGAACGUUGGUUCGACUCCGCUUGCCGACAAUUUCAUAAGAAAAGUUGCAAAUCGAGCUGCUAAGUUACCCGGAGGGGGGCGGCGCAAUUUUUUUUUUUUUUUAUAUAAU